RNAcentral lists this unclassified non-coding RNA (345 nucleotides) under soil metagenome. RNAcentral's name for it is "partial contains 5.8S ribosomal RNA, internal transcribed spacer 2, and large subunit ribosomal RNA". The stretch from base 1 to 120 matches the Rfam family "5.8S ribosomal RNA", at positions 35 to 154 of the family's 154-position model. The record is from RNAcentral.
GAUGAAGAACGUAGUGAAAUGCGAUACGUAAUGUGAAUUGCAGAAUUCAGUGAAUCAUCGAGUCUUUGAACGCACAUUGCGCCCCCUGGUAUUCCGGGGGGCAUGCCUGUCCGAGCGUCAUUGCUGCCCUCAAGCACGGCUUGUGUGUUGGGCCUCCGUCCUCCUCCCGGGGGGCGGGCCCGAAAGGCAGCGGCGGCACCGCGUCCGGUCCUCGAGCGUAUGGGGCUUCGUCACCCGCUCUUGUAGGCCCGGCCGGCGCUUGCCGACACAUCAAUCUUUUUUCCAGGUUGACCUCGGAUCAGGUAGGGAUACCCGCUGAACUUAAGCAUAUCAAUAAGCGGAGGA